GAUGAACGCUGGCGGCGUGCCUAAUACAUGCAAGUCGAGCGAACGGACGAGAAGCUUGCUUCUCUGAUGUUAGCGGCGGACGGGUGAGUAACACGUGGAUAACCUACCUAUAAGACUGGGAUAACUUCGGGAAACCGGAGCUAAUACCGGAUAAUAUUUUGAACCGCAUGGUUCAAAAGUGAAAGACGGUCUUGCUGUCACUUAUAGAUGGAUCCGCGCUGCAUUAGCUAGUUGGUAAGGUAACGGCUUACCAAGGCAACGAUGCAUAGCCGACCUGAGAGGGUGAUCGGCAACACUGGAACUGAGACACGGUCCAGACUCCUACGGGAGGCAGCAGUAGGGAAUCUUCCGCAAUGGGCGAAAGCCUGACGGAGCAACGCCGCGUGAGUGAUGAAGGUCUUCGGAUCGUAAAACUCUGUUAUUAGGGAAGAAAAUAUGUGUAAGUAACUGUGCACAUCUUGACGGUACCUAAUCAGAAAGCCACGGCUAACUACGUG
This 497-nucleotide ribosomal RNA is filed under the name uncultured bacterium. Its description in RNAcentral is "partial 16S ribosomal RNA". It matches the Rfam family "Bacterial small subunit ribosomal RNA", at positions 28 to 507 of the family's 1533-position model. The record is from RNAcentral.